CUUGACAGACAAGUACCUUGUGAUGACUAAGCAUCCACAAUUCUUAGUUGCAACUAUCAGCACACCAUUAAAGUUUCAGAAAACACGUCAUAACAUCAUGGACAUUCUUAUAUAUAAUUCACUGUUUCAGAAACUUCACUAAGGGAAGAAAAAAUAAAAUUUGUUUAUCAGAGGAAAGAAAAUUGUGCCAUCCAGAUAUGAAAUUUCAUUUCAACGAAAAGUAGGGGAAAAAAUAAGAACUAUAAAAUAAACAAGCAUUCACAGGUGGACAGGAUAAUAAGACCAGAAAAGAAGUAUAUGAAAUGUGAUAGAAGCAGCCACCACCUCCAUGUUCCUUCGCUUGUAUCCACUUGAAGAGAGGUAUCCAAUUGUCAAUGCCGCAAUGAGAAUAGG
Molecule: unclassified non-coding RNA, 393 nt
Filed under: Hevea brasiliensis (rubber tree)
Lineage: Eukaryota; Viridiplantae; Streptophyta; Magnoliopsida; Malpighiales; Euphorbiaceae
Source: RNAcentral